RNAcentral lists this ribosomal RNA (713 nucleotides) under uncultured bacterium. Its description in RNAcentral is "bacterial SSU rRNA". It matches the Rfam family "Bacterial small subunit ribosomal RNA", at positions 65 to 774 of the family's 1533-position model. The record is from RNAcentral.
AGCGGGAAGUAGUUUACUACUUUGCCGGCGAGCGGCGGACGGGUGAGUAAUGUCUGGGAAACUGCCUGAUGGAGGGGGAUAACUACUGGAAACGGUAGCUAAUACCGCAUAACGUCUUCGGACCAAAGUGGGGGACCUUCGGGCCUCACGCCAUCGGAUGUGCCCAGAUGGGAUUAGCUAGUAGGUGGGGUAAUGGCUCACCUAGGCGACGAUCCCUAGCUGGUCUGAGAGGAUGACCAGCCACACUGGAACUGAGACACGGUCCAGACUCCUACGGGAGGCAGCAGUGGGGAAUAUUGCACAAUGGGCGCAAGCCUGAUGCAGCCAUGCCGCGUGUGUGAAGAAGGCCUUCGGGUUGUAAAGCACUUUCAGCGAGGAGGAAGGCCAAUAACUUAAUACGUUGUUGGAUUGACGUUACUCGCAGAAGAAGCACCGGCUAACUCCGUGCCAGCAGCCGCGGUAAUACGGAGGGUGCAAGCGUUAAUCGGAAUUACUGGGCGUAAAGCGCACGCAGGCGGUUUGUUAAGUCAGAUGUGAAAUCCCCGCGCUUAACGUGGGAACUGCAUUUGAAACUGGCAAGCUAGAGUCUUGUAGAGGGGGGUAGAAUUCCAGGUGUAGCGGUGAAAUGCGUAGAGAUCUGGAGGAAUACCGGUGGCGAAGGCGGCCCCCUGACAAAGACUGACGCUCAGGUGCGAAAGCGUGGGGAGCAAACA